Lycium ferocissimum is the source of this 2927-nucleotide long non-coding RNA. RefSeq lists it as uncharacterized. The record is from RefSeq and is a predicted model, not a curated record. Lineage: Eukaryota; Viridiplantae; Streptophyta; Magnoliopsida; Solanales; Solanaceae. The transcript has 2 exons.
GAUGAAACUCUCACGAUGAUAUUUUGAUUGUGUCAUGGCCGAGAAUGGCAAGAGCAUUUAUUGCUUUGCUUCUCUCACCCAAUUUCACCGUUUUUAACCCCAAACACGGUAUUAACUCCCUCCCUCUCUCUCUCUCUCUCUCUCUCUCUCUCUCUCUCUCUCUCUUUUCUUUUCCUGCAAGCAUUUUAAUGGUUUUUGUCUCAUUGAGACCCAAAAGUUGCGAUUUCUAUUGGUUUAUAAUGGUUCACAUGGAUUCAAGAGGAAUCCUUGUGAAAUGCUGUUUAUCCCACAUCGAUUUUUGAAAAUUAAGUUGGGAUUUUGGGGUUCUAUAUAAAGAACCCCAUAUUCCACAAGUUCAACAAGUUUUUUCACACCUUACAAGUCCGAAAAUCCGAAAAAUAGCUUAGUAAACCUAGGGAUCUAGCAACUUUUUGCAGGAACCUUUAACUUACUAAGUUGCUCUAGUCUAAAAUUUUAAAAUUCUCUUCUGUUUUAUGGCAGAGUAUCGGGUUGAGAAGGAUAAGGAGCUUCCAAUUUUAUUCUCGACAAGGGUGCGCAAAAGAAAGGUAAAUUUCUUUCCUUUUGUUUAUUUUAAGUAAUUCAUGUGCUUAUUUGGUUUAAUUAUGUGUUAGUUCAGUUGUUAGUAUGUUUAAUAGCAUGAUUGGUAGAUUAGUUUAUUCAUUAAUAGGUUUUCAUAUGCAUGUUUAGCAUGAUCAGUUAGGUUUAAUUGUUGUGUGUUAGCUUAAUGUUUAGUUUAAUUCUGAUAGUAUCAACUAGUCAUUAAGUAUGUUUAGUUUGGUAGUUUAUAUAUGUUUAGUUGUUAAUUCAGAUUAAGUGUGGUUCAAUUAAUCACUUGUAAGCAUAUCAUUCAUUUUAAAGUUAGUAGCAUGAUAAGCAUAACUGCUGGUUUAGAUUAGCUUGAUCAUAUGUAUACCAAGUGUAUAUUUGCCUAGCUUGCCUCCCUUAAUGUCUAGCCUAGGAGUAUCCUGUUUUAAGGUCUCUUAUAUGAUCACAUGUGCUUUAUUUAUGAAGAGCUCUGUUUGUUUGAAUAGUCAUAUUCAGUGUCCAAUAUAAUGGUAUGAGUUGUGAGAAUUUAUUUUUUUGAAAUAGUAAUCCUGCCUUCAUUAGCAUGUCAUGAUACAGUUGUGUUUGUCCUGUUUUACUCAUGUGUUCACCUCAAAAUGUUAACCUAAUAAAACUGAUCAUUUAAAGCUUUAGUAUAAAUCACCCUAUAAGCCUGUUAAUCUCUUUACUAUUGAAUAUAUGUCUAUGUUUAGCAUGAUUACCUUAUUUAGUCUAAUUCUGGAUCUGUCAAUGCCUAUAUUAGCUUUAAUGAUCUUUGUUAUGUGUUAGUAGUGUAGUAUGGCUGUAUUCAGGAUCCAUUUGGGGUUUAUAUGUGCAUCUAUGGAUUUGACUCUAAAAGUUGCUUAUUUGACUUUUAGAAUACUCAAUGUCGCAGUUUAUAAGUGUUCAUAUACUCUUGUUUACCUAAUCCUAUCAUUAGUCUGUUUAGGUUACAUUUAACCCCUUAUUUACUAAAUGCUUAACUGUUUCACCCUCUUAAUGACUUAUGAGAUUUUUUAACUUAACGAAGUUGUUCAAUAUAUUUUCAAACUAGUUGUGAAAGUCCUAAAUGUAAAAGGGAUCUGAAGUAGUGUCUUAAGACUCUAACACGCUUGUUCUAACUUGUCUUCACCUAGUCUAGCAUAGAAACUGCCUUAAGCUGCUGUAUAUUAAGUCUUAAUCCUUUAAUGAACACUCUCUAGUUGUUUUCUCAUGUUGGAUUUGACUUAGUGACCAGUAAUGGUCUAAAGUGUUAAGUGCUCCAAUGUGUUGCUUAAUGUCAUUUUGCAUCUGUUGGGAUAGUCCAUAACUCAUUUGAAAUGAAAGCAUGUCUCUAUGUGUGAAAAUGACCAGCUAUGGCCUUUUGUGUCUAUGUGUUUUUUUCCUGAUAUCAGUCAAUGUAUGCUAGCAUGUAUCCAUAUAUGAUCAAGUCAUCCCAUUUGAUGGAAAUUGAACCUAUCCUCUGUGUAUUUGUUUAAAAAUUCAAAGGCUGGCAUAAACCCUCCUCUGUGAAUUGAAAUAUGGCAUGCUUGGCCCUGUUUUUGCCUUAUGAGACUUUAUAUGCAUAUCUUCAGGUUGAGUUGACCCUGUUGCAUCUAAAAGUGUUUUUUUUUAACCUUUCUUUGUUAUCCUCCCCUUUACCUUCUUCUGUGUUGAUAUUCUUACUGAUAUACCUGAGAUAUACAAGGUAUAUAUGGCUUGUAUACACUCUGGUGUAUAUAAAGGCUAUACCUUGUAUAUCAUUGAGUUUAACUUAUGAAUUUUGUCUUACAUACUCAGUGGUGAGGCUCUAGGGAUAAUCUUCCUGUGUAUUUAUCCUAUUGGGCCUAUCCUAUCUGAUUCUAGCAUUAGGCUUCAUUUCCUUCAUCACUUUGUGUUUUGGGCCUGUUUUCUUAAAUUACUUUGUCGUUUUUUCUUUACGGCUUCAUUCUUGUGUUAUUUUUCUUUGUUAAACACAAUGUAUAUGCCUGGUAUAUGUAUUAUGUAUAUAUACUUAUAUAUGAUGGUGCCUUAUCUUUUAAGUUCUCUGUUAAUUAAUUUGCUAAGCAUAGAUGCCCUCUAACCGCUAUUCCCCUUUUCCCCUCUUUGUUUGCAUAGAACCUUGGCGUGGGCCACUUGGGCCGUCUCUUCUAUUGAACCUGUUCGACCAAAGGCCCGACUCCUUUGUUUAAUCGAGUCCGGAUAAAAAUAAAUGAUAUGAAGGCUCAACCAUAGGUGAAAAUGGCAACUCAUGGGCUUAGGUAGGCCCACCAGCCUAACUCUUCUUCCUUUCGAUUUAUACGUAUAUAUUUAUUUGCUAUUGUAUAAUUGUUGUAUAUGUAAACAACAUUGUAAUGAAUAUUGAAACCCAAAUGCGUUAAGAA